This 429-nucleotide ribosomal RNA is filed under the name uncultured bacterium. RNAcentral's name for it is "bacterial SSU rRNA". It matches the Rfam family "Bacterial small subunit ribosomal RNA", at positions 29 to 506 of the family's 1533-position model. The record is from RNAcentral.
ACGAACGCUGGCGGCAGGCUUAACACAUGCAAGUCGAGCGCCCCGCAAGGGGAGCGGCAGACGGGUGAGUAACGCGUGGGAAUCUACCUUUUGCUACGGAACAACAGUUGGAAACGACUGCUAAUACCGUAUGUGCCCUUCGGGGGAAAGAUUUAUCGGCAAAGGAUGAGCCCGCGUUGGAUUAGCUAGUUGGUGAGGUAAAGGCUCACCAAGGCGACGAUCCAUAGCUGGUCUGAGAGGAUGAUCAGCCACACUGGGACUGAGACACGGCCCAGACUCCUACGGGAGGCAGCAGUGGGGAAUAUUGGACAAUGGGCGCAAGCCUGAUCCAGCCAUGCCGCGUGAGUGAUGAAGGCCCUAGGGUUGUAAAGCUCUUUCACCGGUGAAGAUAAUGACGGUAACCGGAGAAGAAGCCCCGGCUAACUUCGU